Vidua chalybeata is the source of this 478-nucleotide long non-coding RNA. RefSeq lists it as uncharacterized. The transcript has 4 exons. The record is from RefSeq and is a predicted model, not a curated record. Lineage: Eukaryota; Metazoa; Chordata; Aves; Passeriformes; Viduidae.
UCUAGGCAUUUCUUCUCCAUGUGUGCAGUCCCCCUCUUCUGGUCAUUAAGACAUUUGGUCAUGACUGCAGUUCAAUUUUCUGUGUGAUUUUCUGAUACUGCUUAAAUAUGUAGAAUGUUACGCUGAACAACUCUGGUAGUAGUACACACACACCAUGUCGCUAUUGUCUGCCCUGCCAUAUGACAGCUGCUUAGCGUGGAGAUAUUUCAGUAUUGUGUAGCUGUGUAGACUAGUAUGCUGUUCUUCUGGUGAUUAGCAAAAAGAAGCUUCUGUAAGGAUAUCAAAAGGUUAUUAAAGGGAUUGCAGAGGUUUCUUCUUGGAGGGAACUUUUCUAGCUGAUUUAAAACACUGUAAAAGAGGAUUUAUAAUGGAAAUCUCUACCCUUGCUGUAAUGGCAUUAGCAGGACAUCCAGACCAGGUUCAGCUUGAUGAAGACUUGCCACAUACCUGAGCAAUUUCUGCCAAUAUUCAAUUAAAC